AGGGUUUGAUUAUGGCUCAGGAUGAACGCUGGCGGCGUGCCUAAUACAUGCAAGUCGAGCGAGAUGUUAGCGCAUGAACCUUCGGGGGAUUAUGCUAACGGACAGCGGCGGACGGGUGAGUAACGCGUAGGCAACCUGCCCCUGACAGAGGGAUAGCCAUUGGAAACGAUGAUUAAAACCUCAUGACACCGUAGAAGCACAUGCUUCAUCGGUCAAAGAUUUAUCGGUCAGGGAUGGGCCUGCGUCUGAUUAACUAGUUGGUGAGGUAACGGCUCACCAAGGUGACGAUCAGUAGCCGACCUGAGAGGGUGAUCGGCCACAUUGGAACUGAGACACGGUCCAA
RNAcentral lists this ribosomal RNA (343 nucleotides) under uncultured bacterium. RNAcentral's name for it is "bacterial SSU rRNA". It matches the Rfam family "Bacterial small subunit ribosomal RNA", at positions 8 to 334 of the family's 1533-position model. The record is from RNAcentral.